ACAUCCUACGGGGGGCAGCAGUGAGGAAUAUUGGUCAAUGGGCGCGAGCCUGAACCAGCCAAGUCGCGUGAGGGAAGACGGUCCUAUGGAUUGUAAACCUCUUUUGUCGGGGAGCAAAAGACGCCACGUGUGUCGUUCCGAGAGUACCCGAAGAAAAAGCAUCGGCUAACUCCGUGCCAGCAGCCGCGGUAAUACGGAGGAUGCGAGCGUUAUCCGGAUUUAUUGGGUUUAAAGGGUGCGCAGGCGGGCUGUUAAGCCGGCGGUAAAAAUUCAGGGCUCAACCC
RNAcentral lists this ribosomal RNA (284 nucleotides) under uncultured bacterium. RNAcentral's name for it is "partial 16S ribosomal RNA". It matches the Rfam family "Bacterial small subunit ribosomal RNA", at positions 335 to 615 of the family's 1533-position model. The record is from RNAcentral.